UUUACUUUUCAAAAAGCAUAGAGCGGAGAACAGAUGUGCUGAUUUUCAAAACAAGAGAGUAAUUAUACGAGCGGUAUAAUUGGAUAAACAAUAGCAGAAUGCAGCUGCUGGGUGGAAUUUUGACUGGCCUUUUAAUCGUACAAAUCGUUACAGGCACUAAUAGAACACUUACAGUGGUUGAAAUGAAGGAAACGGCAAUAGAAUGUGCCUCAAGCGCAGAUAUUACUUUCAAAUUUUACAGCAACAUACCGAACAUAUCUGCAACGGUUGCAGAAUGCGAUUCUGUUUAUAAUGAAAUGUAUUAUGUUGCAAGCAUCAACAAAAAACAAAUACAACGUUUCUUAUACUGGGCAUGGCGGAAUCCUGAGAAUACUCAAUAUCGACGAAGAAACCACAGGGACAUAUCGAUGCUAUGAAACAUUUGAUCCUCGAAAUUUCGUCACCACGAUUAUUAAACCGUCGCCGAUUGCAAUCGAAGCAGAUAACCCAAUAAAAACACCCGCUCCAAGUGACAUAAUAAAUCCUAUCGUGAUGUUCACAUUGAACGACAAAUCUUUUGAAUGCGCUUCCCAUGCCGAUAUCACAUUCAAGAUUAUAAACAAUACAUCAAAUACGUCUGUAACAAUUGCAGAAUGCAUCUUGACGCUAAAAUUGUGUUAUAUUUGGAAACAAUCAUUCAGGACAAAAAUACAAUUUACGUGUUACUGGUCAAGGGGAGUACUGCAAAUAAUCAGUUUCGACGAUGAAACAAUUGGAACAUACACAUGUUAUGAAACAUUCAACCCAACAACUUUGUCAUAAUUGACCUAAUUGUUAAUUCUACAAAACUGGAGAAUGGCACGUAUACUGUUAUUUCAAAAGUAUUAAUACAACAGCAAACGAAUUAGAUGAAAGAAGAGUAAAUAAUUCCAAGAACGUUUUGACAAAAGUUCUACCCACGAUUAUUGGAUUGCUUUUCGUCGUCAUCUUGGUGAUUUGUAUUAGGAGGCAAAGUCGAGACGAACGGAACAGCAAAAGUUACUAAACAAUCUCGUUAUCAAUGAACCGGUGGAUACAAACACUUAAGAUGUUACCCGAAAGGCGUCACCAACUAAAGUGCGAUUUCCGAACCAUCACAGAAGGCCUGAUGGUCUCUGGGAAACGGAAACGACGCAACCCAGUCACUUCAACGGUGACAUCACCACCAUCACUAGCAGGGAUUGACAUAUGCAGUGAUCAGCGCAUCAAGCACUGUCAACGCCCAAACAUCCGAACCUAUGCCCGUCAAUAUUCCGAAGAUUGAUCCAUUCUUUCCCCACCGACUUGGUACAGAAUCACGUGUCCCUCUCAAUUUCAAUAAAUCUUCUUCAAACACACUCUCAGUUGUAUGGAGUAGUCUUAAAUGUACACAUGUCAACUUUUAAACCAAGUAAAUUCAACGAUCUGUGUUAUUCGCGUGAUAUUUGUUUAAUUGUUGUCCCAUUUCUAUUCGCUGUGUAUUAACACUGUCACAUGUUUCAUUCAUGAUUUCAAAUUUCGACCUUUUUUGAUGGAAAAUUGUUUGCAUAUUGUCCAUAAAUACAUAAUAUUUUAAAAUAAAAAUGUGUAUUUCAAUGUAUUGAAUAAAUUUGA
Long non-coding RNA from Dreissena polymorpha, 1611 nucleotides. RefSeq lists it as uncharacterized. The transcript has 7 exons. NCBI's taxonomy places the organism in Eukaryota, Metazoa, Mollusca, Bivalvia, Myida, Dreissenidae. The record is from RefSeq and is a predicted model, not a curated record.